Molecule: ribosomal RNA, 1863 nt
Filed under: Triticum aestivum (bread wheat)
Lineage: Eukaryota; Viridiplantae; Streptophyta; Magnoliopsida; Poales; Poaceae
Description: partial small subunit ribosomal RNA
Source: RNAcentral
AUGGGAAUGGAGGUCGCCGGAGCUGAAGCUGCACCAGCACAGGUUAAAGUAGCUGAUGAGGAAGUGACCCUUUUUCAAGACAAGGAAAGCCAAGCAACUGCAAAGGAGCGGGAGGAAGCAGCUGUUUUUGGUUCAGACAAUGGCAAAGCUGCGGCAAAUGACAUGGCACCUCCAAAGGACGCAGCGGAGGAGUGGCCUGAACCUAAGCAAACUUAUACCUUCUACUUUGUCAAGAUCCGCUCAUUUGAGGACCCUAAGCUGAGAGCAAAACUUGAGCAGGCUGAGAAGGACUUCCAAAAUAAGAUCCAAGCUCGGGCCAAGAUUAUUGAUGCUAUAAAAGCUAAGAAGACUGAGCGUGCUGCUGUUCUCGCGGAGCUAAGGCCAUUGAGUGCUGAGAACAGGCAGUACAAUGAAGCUUUUAAUGAGAAGUUAGAGGAGAUGAAACCUUACAGAAAUCGUUUAGGCAAGUUCCGUGAUGAAAAUAAUGCUAUGCGGGCGGAGAGUGCAGGCUUGUGCUCUUCACUCGAAGAGCUUGAGCAUGAGAUCAAGAGGUUGAAUCACCGCAUAAGUCAUGAGAGCAUAUCUUUAGAUGAGGAGAAGCGGCUGAUCAAAGAAAUUAAGACCCUUGAAAAAACCAGACCGAAGGUCAGUUCCAAUGCUGCUAAACGAGCUAAAAUGCAAGAUACAGUGGUUGAAAGAGAUGCCAUACAGGAUCAGGUGAAAAUCAUCGGGGAUGGUAUAGAUGGAGUAAAGAAGGAGCGACAAGCAGUCAGGUCUAAGAUUAAGGUCCUGGACGAUGAGAUGAGGGUUGUUGAUGGCGAGAUUGCUUUGCUUCAAGAAGAUUUAAAUGCAGCUACCGCCAGAAAGGAUAAAGCAUACGAGUCAUUGACCGAAUUGAGAAAAGCGCGUGAUCUUGCCAAUGCAUCCUUCCAUCAAAACCGCAUAGUUCUGAACAGAGCCAGGGAUCAUUCUUCUAGGAAUGAGGUGGAAGAAUUGCAAGAGCUCCACAAGACUGAGGUUGAGAAGUUCAUGACACAAUGGUGCAGCAGCAAGACCUUUAGAGAGGACUAUGAGAAGAGGAUCCUCACUUCCCUCAAUGGACGGCAGCUGACCCGAGAUGGCCGGAUGAGGAAUCCUGAUGAGAAGCCCAUAUUUAUCGAAACACAGCAGCCAGCAGCACCUGUGCAACAGGAGCCUAUCCCAUCAAAAGCGCCUUUGAAACAAGCAAAGGAAGCUGCUGCUCCUCAAGUCGUCGCUCCCAAAGAAGAGCCCCUUGCAAAAGCAUCUGCCAAGUCAGCUAAGGUAAAAGCUGCUGUGGAUGCUGAUGAUGAUGCCUAUGAGGCUGAGCCUCCAAAGGAGAAGCCCAAGCCUAAAGAGGUUGAUGUAGCAAAGUUGAAAGAGAUCAAGAGACAGGAGGAAAUCGAGAAGAAUAGACUUGCUUUGGAAAGGAAGAAGAAGCAGGCUGAGAAGCAAGCGGCGAAGGCUGCAGCCCGAGCACAAAAGGAAGCUGAGAAGAAGCUUAAGAAAGAGGAGAAGAAAACCAAGAAGAAAACUGAGGCAGAUACGGACGAGCCAACUGACUCAGACACCAAGUCUGAUGAAGCAGCAGAAACCCAAGCAGAGGAUGAGUUCACUCCAGUUUCUGUGGUAAACAAAGAACAGAAGCAGAACACACGGACCAGGAAUGUAGUCACCAAGACCAAGGCCCCGCUGCCAAAGGCGAUCCUGAAGAGGAAGAAAGCCCAGUCGUACCGGUCAUGGGCCACCCCAGCCGUGAUGAUAUCCGCCGUCACCGUGCUCGUCGCCCUGCUUGCGGCGCUGGGCUACUACCAGUACUACCGCCCGGCGAGCACCAGCAACUGA